AUGACCACUACCAGCAAGAAGCUCAUUUUGUCCAUCCUCCCCAUCCUAAUUGUAGGGUUUAUACCAGAACUAAGCACCGGUAAUGACCACAGGCAAUUCGCCUACACUGGCUUCACCAACAGCAACCCCACCCUAGACGGCGCAGCUAGAAUCACGUCGACCGGCGUCAUCGAGCUGACAAAUGUUACAGCUCGGAUCAAGGGCCAUGCAGUUUACCCAUCUCCACUGCGCUUCCGCCUGUCUCCUGAUGGCAUGGUGCAGUCCUUCUCUACCUCCUUUGUGUUUGGUAUUCUCUCUUCAUUUGGCGACAUAAGGGGCCAUGGCUUUGCCUUCUUCAUCGGCCCAAGCAAUGAUUUCACUAAUGCUUUUCCAAUCCAAUUUUUGGGGCUUUUCAACUCCAUAAACAAUGGCAGUUCGGUCAACCAAAUCUUUGCAAUUGAGCUUGACACCAUCCAAAAUACUGAGUUUGGGGACAUCGACAACAACCAUGUUGGAAUCGACAUCAACAGCCUCAACUCUUUGAGAUCCAACACAGCUGGUUUCUACAAUAACAAUAAGAAUGGCAUGUUCACAAACCUACCCCUCAUUGGAAGUGGGCCAAUCCAAACUUGGGUUGAGUAUGAUGGAAACACAACACAGAUCAGUGUGACCUUAGCUCCUCUAGGCAUGGAAAAACCUAUGAGGCCACUCGUCUCUUUAACCAUCAACCUCUCCACAGUUCUAAAAGAGGAAUCAUACAUUGGCUUCUCGUCUUCGACAGGCUUAACCACUGGGCAUCACUGUGUUCUUGGAUGGAGUUUUGGCAUGAAUAGUCCUGCUCCAAUAAUCGACUCCACCAAAGUACCCAAACUACCUUAUCUUGGCUAAAGAUCUCCAUCUAAACUCUUAGAGAUCAUUCUACCAAUUGCCUCUGCAGUUUUGGUAUUAGCUAUUGGCACUAUAGCUGUUAUACUUGUGAGGAGACAUCUUAGGUAUAAGGAGGUACACGAAGAUUGGGAAGUUGAGUAUGGUCCACACAGAUUUGUUUACAAAGAUUUAUAUCGUGCCACCAAAGGAUUUAGUUCCAAGAAUUUGAUAGAGAUAGGUGGGGCUUGGAAGGGUGUACAAGGGAGUUCUUCCCACAUCCAAGUCAGAGUUUGCAGUAAAGAGGGUAUCGUAUAGCUCGAAGCAGGGGAUAAAACAAUUUGUUGCUGAAGUGGUAAGUAUGGGGCAUCUUCAACACAACAAUGUUGGGAAAUUAUUUGGGUAUUGUAAGCGAAAAGGUGAACUCCUUCUAGUGUAUGAUUAUAUGGAGAAUGGAAGUCUUGAUAAGUACUUGUGCGGUGAGGAGGGCAGGACCACCUUAGAUUGGGGACAAAGGUUUAAAAUUAUCAAAGGAAUCGCAUCGGGCUUGCUCUACCUUCAUGAGGAAUGGGACAAAGUUGUCAUCCAUCGUGAUGUCAAGCCAAACAAUGUGCUUCUUGAUAAAGAGAUGAAUGGACGACUCGGAGAUUUCGGCCUCGCAAGAUUGUAUGAUCAUGGCACCGGCCCACAAACUACACAUGUUGUUGGCACAAUAGGAUACUUAGCCCCAGAGCUAGUACACAGAGGCAAGGCAACCAAUCUAACUGAUGUGUUUUCCUUUGGCAUUUUCAUUCUUGAGGUUUCCUGUGGAAGAAAGGCAAUGACUGAAGACACCCAAAACCGCCAGGUCAUGUUGGUCGAUUGGGUGAUUCAGAACUGGAAUAAAGAUUCACUCCUUGAUGCAGUGGAUACCAAACUCCAAGGUAACUAUGAUAUUGAUGAGGUUUUCCUAGCAUUGAAGUUAGGGUUGUUGUGCUCUCAUCCAUUUCCAGAUGCAAGACCCAACAUGCGGCAAGUUCUGCAGUAUCUCGAGGGUGAUGUGCCACUAUCAGAGCUACUACCAGCACACUUCAGCUUUCAUAUGUUGGCCUUAAUGAAGAAUGAAGGACGAAUGCCUAGCAUGGUGUGUCUCUUCUUCCUUUCAGAGAUACUCUUCUCCCUGUCCUUAAGCCUAAUAUCUUCCAUCACUGCCACUGGAGAGGAUCAGUUCGUCUACUCCGGCUUCUCCAGGAGUUACCUCAGCCUUGACGGAGCAGCCACUAUUACACCAGACGGCGUCCUUGAGCUGACAAAUCACACAGUUCACAUUAAAGGCCAUGCGUUCUAUCCAACUCCAUGGCGAUUCCGUAAGUCCCCUGGUGAGGUGGUGCAGUCUUUCUCAGUUACCUUUGUGUUCGGCAUGAUCCCCAUCUACUCUGAUCAAUGUACCGACGGAAUGACUUUCUUGAUCUCUCCGACCAAGGAUUUCUCAGGUGCACAGACCUCCCAAUACUUGGGUCUCCUCAACAAAACAAGUGAUGGCAAUAAAAAUAACCAUAUAUUUGCAGUUGAGCUUGAUAGUAGCCAAAAUACGGAGUUCAAUGACAUUGAUGACAACCAUAUCGGCAUCAACAUCAAUAGUCUCACCUCAAAUAAAUCAAGAUCAGCUGCCUUCUAUGAUGACAACAGUGGUAUGUUCAAAAACAUAUCCAUGGUUAGUCGCAAAGAAAUGCAAGUAUGGGUGGACUACGAUGGAGAGACCACACAGAUCAACGUGACAUUGGCUCCGCUAAGAUUGCCCAAACCAUCAAGGCCACUACUGUCAGCUACCUACAACCUAUCCACAGUGCUGGAAGAUCCAUCCUACGUUGGCUUCUCGGCAUCAACUGGUCCAAUCAAUUCACUAUAUUGUGUAACUGGCUGGAGCUUGGGCAUAAACCAUCCAGCUCCCUUGAUUGACAUUACCAAGUUGCCAAAGCUGCCUCAUGUUGGCCCAAAACCUCGGUCCAAGUUGCUUGAGAUCAUCCUACCAAUAGCCACAGCCAUAUUCAUCUUCCUUGUUGGAACAACUGUAAUUCAAUUGGUGCGGAGGAGAAUGAAAUAUGCUGAGAUAAAUGAAGAUUGGGAAGCUGAGUUUGGUCCACACCGCUUCUCAUACAAGGAUUUGUUCUAUGCUACAGAUGGAUUUAAGAAUAAGAAUCUACUCGGCCUAGGAGGAUUUGGGAAGGUGUAUAAAGGUCUGCUCUCUGUCUCAAAAUUGGAGGUUGCUGUAAAGAGAGUGUCCCAUGAGUCAAAGCAGGGAAUGAAGGAGUUUGUUGCUGAGAUUGUCAGUAUUGGCCGGCUCCGACAUCGCAACCUUGUCCAGCUACUCGGUUAUUGCAGAAGAAAAGGUGAACUCCUAUUGGUAUAUGAAUAUAUGUCAAAUGGCAGUCUUGACAAGUAUUUACAUUGUGAAGAGGGCAAACCCACUCUGAAUUGGGCUCAAAGGUUUCAAAUCAUCAAAGGUGUGGCAUCCGGCCUAUUCUACCUCCAUGAGAGGUGGGAGAAAGUUGUAAUUCAUCGAGAUAUCAAGGCAAGCAAUGUGCUCCUUGACAGUGAGAUGAAUGGACGCCUAGGUGACUUUGGUCUUGCAAGACUGUAUGAUCAUGGCACUGAUCCACAAACAACCCAUGUGGUUGGUACAAUGGGGUAUCUAGCCCCAGAACUGGCACGCACCGGUAAGGCAACGACUCAGACAGAUGUCUAUGCAUUUGGCAUUUUCAUUCUUGAAGUAACCUGCGGGCAAAGGCCUAUCAAUAGUCAUGCAGAUGAUAGUUCCCAGAUCUUGGUUGAUUGGGUUGUUGAGCAUUGGCACAAAGGAUCACUCACAUACACACUUGACAGUAGAUUACAAGGCAACUACAACUCUGAUGAGGUCAGGCUGGCAUUAAAUCUUGGUUUGUUGUGUGCACAUCCAUUUUGCAAUGCAAGGCCUAAUAUGCGUCAAGUCAUACAAUACCUUAACGGUGAUAUGCCACUCCCGGAGCUGAUGCCCACAAACAUAAGUUACGGUGUGUUGGGCCUGAUGCUAAAUGAAGGUUUUGACCAAUAUUCAGCAUUGGCGUCCACAGUUGGCAGCAGUUGCAUGACGUCCAGCCUCUCAAGUGGACGAUGAUAAUAGAUAGAUGCCUUACCCAUGGCCAUAUCAUCUUGUAGUUAGUAAGCCUGAUUAAGUUAUGGUAUGGAAUCUACUGUAAUUCUUAUUCCUAGUGUCAUAAUACUUACCUCAGGGAUUCUGAAGCAGAAAAUAAUCUAUCAAGUCUCUGUUUCUUCCUACUUCAUGGUUUUUAUAUGCUUCGAUGCAAGGCUUAUGCUGUCAGAUCUUGUAUACUGUUGUAGAGUCUGUACAUGUCAACUCUUGUAAAUAGUCUUAAAAUGCUGCACUGCACAAAGGAUACUCUAAUAUAUUGAAGACAACAGUUGACAAUUUGACA
Molecule: RNA transcript, 4295 nt
Organism: Panicum virgatum (switchgrass)
Lineage: Eukaryota; Viridiplantae; Streptophyta; Magnoliopsida; Poales; Poaceae
Gene name: L-type lectin-domain containing receptor kinase SIT2-like
Exons: 2
Source: RefSeq, a predicted model, not a curated record